Molecule: ribosomal RNA, 363 nt
Filed under: Triticum aestivum (bread wheat)
Lineage: Eukaryota; Viridiplantae; Streptophyta; Magnoliopsida; Poales; Poaceae
Description: partial small subunit ribosomal RNA
Source: RNAcentral
AUGGAGUCUCUGAAGCUGGAUGCCAAAACUCUGCAGCGACAAAGAGAAGAAAACCGCAAGGAAUUCUCGGAUUUCUCCAAGCAAGUUAGCACCAACUUCAUGGUCAUGCAAGGUUACUUCACAAACAUGCAAGCUAGCCGCCUGGAUAAGCUCAUCUCUGCAAUAGUUACUGAGCCAAGAAAGCUCAUCUCUGCAAUAGUUACUGAGCCAAGAACAGAUGAGGGGCAAACUCCUCCUCCUGGAAGUAUCCGGUUUGGGGAUUUACCUACAACACCUACUCAGGGUGCAGUGAACAAAGAAGUGCCUAAUUCAUCCCCAGGGCAGGGCAAUGUCAACAUUGCAGAGAAACCAGAUCUCGCCUAG